Molecule: RNA transcript, 1435 nt
Organism: Cicer arietinum (chickpea)
Lineage: Eukaryota; Viridiplantae; Streptophyta; Magnoliopsida; Fabales; Fabaceae
Gene name: E3 ubiquitin-protein ligase RING1-like
Source: RefSeq, a predicted model, not a curated record
AGCAACUAAACAAAACUUGGCGUUACUGUCAUUGUUGAUUUGGGUCGCUUCUACUCCGACAAGAGUCAUGUCUUCCGGCGGAGACGGCGGCGGUGGUGGUAAGCUUUUCUUCUGCCACGUGUGCAGUCGGAGAGUUACUUGCUCAGAUGAUUCCGAACCUUUCUGCCCAAUUUGCCUCCAAGGUUUCGUUGAAGAAUAUGUUCCCAAUCCCGAACCUAACCCUAGCCCUAGCUUCACUUUCAGCUUUAACCAAGAUCCUUCCUCCGAUUCCGAUUUUCCCCUCCACCCCUUAUCUCUUCUCCCUCUAUUGCUAUCCUCUGCUUCGAUAUCUAGGACCCGACCCGAAUCCGAUAAUUUCGACCCGUUCGUUUUCCUUCAGAAUCACCUUCAUGACCUUCACGCCGACGGAGCCAACAUUCAAUUCGAGAUCAAUCAUCCUUCCGAAACCGGAACCGAACCAGGGUUUCGAAUCCCAUCCAACAUCGGCGAUUACUUCCUCGGUCCUGGACUCGAGCAAUUGAUUCAGCAGCUCGCCGAGAAUGAUCCUAACCGUUAUGGAACACCGCCGGCGUCGAAAGACGCCGUUCAGAAGCUUCCGACUGUUACUGUCGACGAUGAGUUGUUGAACUCGGAGUUGAACCAGUGUGCUGUUUGUCAGGAUGAGUUUGAGAAGGGUUCGCAGGUGAAGCAAAUGCCUUGUAAGCAUGUUUAUCAUGAUGAGUGUUUGCUUCCAUGGCUUCAAUUGCAUAACUCUUGUCCUGUGUGUCGAUAUGAAUUGCCAACUGAUGAUGCUGAUUAUGAGAAUCGGGCGAGGGGGGAUGGUGGUGAUGGGUUGAGGUCUGUUGUUGAUGGUAAUGGUAGUGGUGGUGGAGGAAAUAGACCGGUUCAUAGGACUUUUAGAAUAUCUUUGCGGUAUCCUUUUGGUGGAGGUGAAUAUGCUCAGGACUCUGGUGAAAGGGGAUCGGGAAAUAGGCAAGAAGAUUUGGAUUGAAAAUUGUAAGUAUCUAGAAAGAAAUUAUACAUUCAAAAGAUAAAGCAAACUACAUCAUAUCCAUGGUAAAAAUUUGGAUUGGCUGUUGAUUUUGAAAUUCUGUAGCUGGAUCAUCAAUUACUGACAGAUAUAUAUCAACCAAGUUGCAUCCAUGCUAUUGUUUAGUGCUGAAAAACAGGGAGCUAUCUUAUGCAGCUCAUGGUGUCCGUGAAUAGGUUACAUGCAUUGUUAUUAUGUUCAUAGAAGUUCUUGUAAGGAUACAAUCCGCGGCUAGUAAACUUGUCCAAUUAAAGGUCCUUUUUCCAAUCUAUUGGAUAGCUGGAAAAUGGUAUUUUGAGACGGUACACAGUUUUAGAGAUUUUAGAGUCGAUAGCAAAAAAUUUAUGUUGUUUUUUAUGUACAGAUUAUCUUCGCCAAUGAUCCAAUGGUGAUUGUUAUCCUUUA